Molecule: non-coding RNA, 690 nt
Organism: Lupinus albus (white lupine)
Lineage: Eukaryota; Viridiplantae; Streptophyta; Magnoliopsida; Fabales; Fabaceae
Source: the annotation of a GenBank genome assembly
UGGUAUUGAAUCUAAUAUAUCAAUAUGAUAGUUUCUUUUAGAGUUUAGAUGUUUUUCUUAUUCUUCAUCUACGAAGAGGUUCAAGCUCAAAAUUCACAUUUCUAUGAGUACUAAGUUUGUCCUACCAAAAAUCAUAUCAUUUUUAUUAUAGGAAUAAUAAUCGGAACAACAAGCAUUCUUAUUAAAUGUGGGUAACAAUUAUUUGAAAUAAAUUCAAAUAAUGGGACAACUAUAGAUCACAUAUACUAGAUAAAAUAAAGGUGGCUACUGUUAUUUGACGUUAUGGUUAUUGGAUGUGAUUUUCAUUUCAACACAGUUGUCUUAGAUAUUUUCUUAAGUGAGUUAGAUUCGAGUGAUUUUCAAUCCCAUAAAUCUUUUGAGACUUAGAACUUCGAGAGCCUUGAUAUUUAAAAGAAUACUUAGAUGAGUUAAGAGAUCGGAGAGGCUUGGUAAGUGAGUGGACACUUUCAUUGUUUAGAGGCGUUUCUAAUGUGUAGUAUUUAUGCCAUAGUGAAAAUUCCUUCUGGGAGAAGGGACUGGACAUAGUUUUUUGAAUGCUUUUCAGGAGCUCGAGCAUGAUGUGCUUUCAAUAAAUCUUUCCAAGACUCCGAGCCUGAUGUAAAUUUCCGAGUUCUGACAAGACCCAAUGUGCGUUUGCGUUUCAAUUUUUCUUUUCUUUCUAGGAUCCUG